This 586-nucleotide ribosomal RNA is filed under the name uncultured bacterium. RNAcentral describes it as "bacterial SSU rRNA". It matches the Rfam family "Bacterial small subunit ribosomal RNA", at positions 9 to 585 of the family's 1533-position model. The record is from RNAcentral.
GAGUUUGAUCCUGGCUCAGAACGAACGCUGGCGGCGCGUUUUAAGCAUGCAAGUCGAACGGUAGCAGGACUUCGGUUCUGUGAGAGUGGCGAACGGGUGAGUAACACGUAGGUGAUCUACCGCGAGGUUGGGAAUAGCUCAUGGAAACAUGGGGUAAUACCGAAUGAGCUUUCGUGACUAUGGUUAUGAAAGGAAAGGGGCUUUGGCCUCGCCUUGUGAUGAGCUUGCGGCUGAUUAGGUAGUUGGUGGGGUAACGGCCUACCAAGCCGACGAUCAGUAGCCGGCCUGAGAGGGUGACCGGCCACACUGGGACUGAGAUACGGCCCAGACUCCUACGGGAGGCAGCAGCUAAGAAUCUUCCGCAAUGGACGAAAGUCUGACGGAGCGACGCCGCGUGGGCGAAGAAGGCCGUGAGGUUGUAAAGCCCUUUUCUACUUGAGGAAUAAGUCCCAGAGGGAAUGCUGGGAUGAUGACGGUAGGGUAGGAAUAAGCCCCGGCUAAUUACGUGCCAGCAGCCGCGGUAACACGCAUGGGGCGAGCGUUGUUCGGAAUUAUUGGGCGUAAAGGGCGCGUAGGCGGACGUGCA